GGUUCAGUCUCCGCUCUUUGUGGGGGAGCCAAGAGCCUGCACAGCCUGCCCUCGGGUACGGUUGCGGACUCUUGUCGGCUUCCAGUUCUGGGCUGGCGCCGUACCAAAGGUACGUGUGGUCAUGAUCACUCUCGGACCAGCUCACUACAAAUCAUGCCGAUCAGUCAGGACAAAAAAAACAUCUCUUGCAUUCGACCGGGUCUGCGCUGAUGAGGCGCAGAUGCCGGAAGCAUGACGGGAGCACCCUCGAAUGGCACCAGCGAGUCCUCCAGACGCGCAUGAGGCGAGUCCCCACGCCACAUUACGGCAUGCCGCGGCUUGUGGCGACCGAGGGAGAGGCAUGGCAUGCAGGCAGGGCGUGCAAGGUCUCGGAGGGCCCUGGCCUGCGUGUGACCGACUUCCUUGCUGCGCUCGCCCGGCAUGCCCCCUUGAUCGCCACCCCCUUCUACCCGCACGGCAGACGCCACGGCCUCCGCCCACGAGCGGGACCCUGAAGGCGGCCCUGCUUGGAUCAAGGCAUGCGGUCCACCCAUGCGCGUGUGCCGCCGGGUGGCGCGGCAUGCGUGCGGGGGAGGGCAAGAGAAGCCGAUGGGACGCAUGGCCCGAUUUCGGCGGCAGAACUGCUCGUCCUGGUCGACGCGGAUGUGGCGGCAGUGCGACAGGGGGGCGUGUGAGCUGUGGUUGUUCGCUUGUGCUUGUGAACGUGUUUGAUGGUGGAAGGAGACGUUGAGAAGCGAAAAGCGCAUGAACUUCUUCCCUUUUAUUUUCGUGUUGUUGUUCACUGUGCUGCGUAGGCCGCAGCUGGCGAGGACGUUUGUUUGCUCAGCUUUUCUUGUUGACGUCGAUAUGGGUUGGAACCCCCUUUUUUUGUUCUCUCUCUGCGUGCGUGGGUGUAUGGAGAACGCGAGCGUAUUCGGGAGCUGACUUUUCUGUGUGCGCUGCGUUGGUGCACCGCUUCCUCCUCCGUGAUCGGGCCAUGGCUUGCAUUCGAUUUUCAUGUGUGGUUCUCGGGGGUGUGGUGUCGGUGAGCCUCCUCUGCCGGCUUUGCUGCAUUACGACACGCACGUCGGAUUAGAGAGCCCCCGGGAACCGUGGGGAGCAGCGAUGAUGGAUGAACAAGAGUCCGUGAAGGCGACUACCACAGUGAUGAAGAGGGAAAAGAAAGGAAGAGGGCGCUUCACAAGUUACAGAACAGGCUGAGAGUUGUGGCGACAUCUGCAUUCGCUGAAAAGGGGGUCGAUGUGAAAAUGGCCUCUCCUGCGUCUGAAUUGUUAUUCUCUUCUUUUUCUUGUCACGAAUACGCGGGCCUACACUCACCCGCCCUUCCCGCUUCAUGCGUAUGCCUCUCACGUCGAGGUCUCUCUCUCGCACUUGCUGUAUGCUGUUACUCCACUGACUGCUAUGACGGGGGACCGUCUCUCUUUUUCUUUCCUUCUGCUAUUGACUCGUACUGUUCUUUCAGUGUUCUUAUUAUUCUUUUGUAUUGUUCUCCUUUCUGUGUCUCUCUUCGUUUUUCUCUCCGGGGAAGCCUGUCUGUGUGCGUGUGUGCAGGGGGGGGGCGUGGGGAGGCUUUCGCCUCUGUGCAGUCUGCGGUGUCGCCCUUCAACCAUCGGAAACAAGAAAACGAAAAAGCGCAACCGCUGCAGUCUGACGUCAGGCUUUCCAGGAAUCAAGAAAAAUGACGUGCCUACGGCUUCUCGGAUCUCAAGUGCGGUGCAAGUACUUCUCACGACGCGUAGUCCAAACUUGCUGUCCUGCUCUGCGGCAAAAGCCCACUUAGUGCUAUCUAUAGUAUAUGGAAAGGUGUGGAGAGACGUAGAAAGACGUUAGGAAAGAGGAGCGCCAUGCAGCGCGUCUCUCUGUCCGACGAACACCUUUCAUGUGCCUUUGCAGGAUGUCCUCCACGCUGUCGGUUGACCAGAGGCCCCGCACUGAAUAAGCGAGGGCACACGGGAUGGGGUCUGCUGCUUUGAUUUUUUUUGCUGGUGCCUCCUCCAUCAUGCCGAUAGGGGCCUUUACUCACGCAUAAGGCUCCAACAGAGCUGCCCCCUUCUCCAUCAUCCCUCUCCUCUUCUGCUCUCUCCAUCUUGCUCUCCUCGAUGCUGACCCCCUCUGUGUCACACACCCUUACGCACAAUGAGUGAAG
This 2146-nucleotide unclassified non-coding RNA is filed under the name Leishmania donovani. RNAcentral's name for it is "gene:unknown". Lineage: Eukaryota; Euglenozoa; Kinetoplastea; Trypanosomatida; Trypanosomatidae. The record is from RNAcentral.